Molecule: ribosomal RNA, 429 nt
Filed under: Bacillota bacterium
Lineage: Bacteria; Bacillati; Bacillota
Description: Firmicutes bacterium partial 16S ribosomal RNA
Rfam family: Bacterial small subunit ribosomal RNA
Source: RNAcentral
UGGGGAAUUUUGGACAAUGGGCGAAAGCCUGAUCCAGCAAUGCCGCGUGUGUGAAGAAGGCCUUCGGGUUGUAAAGCACUUUUGUCCGGAAAGAAAACGCCGUGGUUAAUACCCGUGGCGGAUGACGGUACCGGAAGAAUAAGCACCGGCUAACUACGUGCCAGCAGUCGCGGUAAUACGUAGGGUGCAAGCGUUAAUCGGAAUUACUGGGCGUAAAGCGUGCGCAGGCGGUCCGCUAAGACAGAUGUGAAAUCCCCGGGCUUAACCUGGGAACUGCAUUUGUGACUGGCGGGCUAGAGUAUGGCAGAGGGGGGUAGAAUUCCACGUGUAGCAGUGAAAUGCGUAGAGAUGUGGAGGAAUACCGAUGGCGAAGGCAGCCCCCUGGGCCAAUACUGACGCUCAUGCACGAAAGCGUGGGGAGCAAACAGG